This 432-nucleotide unclassified non-coding RNA is filed under the name soil metagenome. RNAcentral describes it as "partial contains 5.8S ribosomal RNA, internal transcribed spacer 2, and large subunit ribosomal RNA". The stretch from base 1 to 120 matches the Rfam family "5.8S ribosomal RNA", at positions 35 to 154 of the family's 154-position model. The record is from RNAcentral.
GAUGAAGAACGUAUCGAAAUGCGAUACGUAAUGUGAAUUGCAGAAUUCAGUGAAUCAUCGAAUCUUUGAACGCAUAUUGCGCUCUCUGGUAUUCCGGAGAGCAUGCUUGUUUGAGUAUCAGUAAACACCUCAACUCCCCUUUCUUUUUUGAAAUGGGAGCUGGACUUGAGUGAUCCCAACGCUUUUCUCACCGAAAAGUGGCGGGUUACUUGAAAUGCAGGUGCAGCUGGACUUUUCUCUGAGCUAAAAGCAUAUCUAUUUAGUCUGCCUAAAAAACAGAUUAUUACCUUUGCUGCAGCUAACAUAAAGGAGAUUAGUUCUUGUGCUGACUGAUGCAGGAUUCACAGAGACAGCUUCGGCUGGCCUUUGUAAACUCGAUCUCAAAUCAAGUAAGACUACCCGCUGAACUUAAGCAUAUCAAUAAGCGGAGGA